AAGCCGUUGCGAGAUUGCAAUGGGUACAAUUUAAAACACUUAACGAGUAACAAUUGGAGGGUAAGUCUGGUGCCAGCAGCUGCGGUAAUUCCAGCUCCAAUAGUGUAUAUUAAAGUUGUUGCAGUUAAAAAGCUCGUAGUCGAAGUUCUGGCUGGUCCUGUUUUCGGCUCCGGUCGACUCAGGACCUAGUCAUCCGUCGGAGAACCCUUGUCGUCCUUUAUUGGUCGCUUGGGGGAACUGACCCUUUACUUUGAAAAAAUUAGAGUGUUUCAGGCAGGCUCUCGCCCGAAUACUCCAGCAUGGAAUAAUGGAAUAGGACUUUCUUCUAUUUUGUUGGUUAUUAGUGGAAAGUAAUGAUUAAUAGGGACAGUUGGGGGCAUUCGUACUUAAUUGUCAGAGGUGAAAUUCUUGGAUUUAUUAAAGACGAACUAAUGCGAAAGCAUUUGCCAAGGAUGUUUUCAUUGAUCAAGAACGAAAGUUAGGGGAUCAAAGACGAUCAGAUACCGUCCUAGUCUUAACCAUAAACUAUACCGACUAGGGAUUGGCAGGGCCUUCUAAACCCUGUCAGCACCUCAUGAGAAAUCAAAGUUUUUGGGUUCUGGGGGGAGUAUGGUCGCAAGGCUGAAACUUAAAGGAAUUGACGGAAGGGCACCACCAGGAGUGGAGCCUGCGGCUUAAUUUGACCCAACACGGGGAAAUUUACCAGGUUCAGACAUAGGUAGGAUUGACAGAUUGAGAGCUCUUUCUUGAUUCUAUGGGUGGUGGUGCAUGGCCGUUCUUAGUUGGUGGAGUGAUUUGUCUGGUUAAUUCCGUUAACGAACGAGACCUUAACCUGCUAACUAGUCGCCUUUAUAAAUAGGGGUUGACUUCUUAGAGGGACUUUGUGUGUAAGCACAAGGAAGUUUGAGGCAAUAACAGGUCUGUGAUGCCCUUAGAUAUCCUGGGCCGCACGCGUGCUACACUGACACGUUCAAUAAGUUUUAUCCUGGCUCGGAAGAGUUCGGGUAACCUUUAUAAUACGUGUCGUGAUGGGGAUAGAUCUUUGGAAUUAUAGAUCUUGAAUGAGGAAUUCCUAGUAAGCAUAAGUCAUCAUCUUGUGCUGAUUACGUCCCUGCCCUUUGUACACACCGCCCGUCGCUCCUACCGAUUUUGAGUGGUCCGGUGAACCUUCUGGACCGCAACCGGGUUCAACCCGGGUGUGGGAAGUUAAGUAAACCUUAUCACUUAGAGGAAGGAGAAGUCGUAACAAGGUUUCCGUAGGUGAACCUGCGGAAG
Molecule: ribosomal RNA, 1275 nt
Filed under: metagenome
Description: SSU rRNA
Rfam family: Eukaryotic small subunit ribosomal RNA
Source: RNAcentral